UACAGGGGGUGCAAACGUUGCUCGGAAUCAUUGGGCGUAAAGAGCUCGUAGGCGGUUCGGGCAAGUCGGAUGUGAAAUCUCCACGCUUAACGUGGGGGGGGCCAUUCGAAACUGCUGUGACUCGAGUCCGGUAGGGGAGUGUGGAAUUCCCGGUGUAGCGGUGAAAUGCGCAGAUAUCAGGAGGAACACCGGUGGCGAAGGCGGGUCUCUGGGCAGUAACUGACGCUGAGGAGCGAAAGCGUGGGGGAGCGAACAGG
RNAcentral lists this ribosomal RNA (257 nucleotides) under uncultured bacterium. Its description in RNAcentral is "partial 16S ribosomal RNA". It matches the Rfam family "Bacterial small subunit ribosomal RNA", at positions 524 to 776 of the family's 1533-position model. The record is from RNAcentral.